This 3097-nucleotide long non-coding RNA is filed under the name Sorghum bicolor (sorghum). RNAcentral's name for it is "long non-coding RNA (SBIC_LNC007768)". Lineage: Eukaryota; Viridiplantae; Streptophyta; Magnoliopsida; Poales; Poaceae. The record is from RNAcentral.
CUAGGUAGCGUGCCCGUGCGUUGCUACGGGACAUCUAAAAUUUUAUACUAAAAAAAUACGUAUCGCAUAAUAGGAUAACAAUACUAUAAAAUUAAUUAAUUCAAAAGGCAAAGUUUGCCCAUGUGUUGAUCCAAAAAGAAAAUAUAACACCAUGACAAUUAGAGUUUACCCAUGUAUUGUUGUAUUACUAAAAACAAUGUGUAAUCAUGGACUCUUUACCAUCUUUAUUUUCCAGCCUUUUUGACUCAGUAUGCAAUAUUGUGUAACCAUGGCCGCCUUCACCUUUCCAGCUUGUGGGGCAGUCCACUCUGUUCUGUAUUGGAUCUUUGAUGUUGCAAGCCUGAAGGUACGUGAGCAAGUAAUUAAGGUUAAAUGGCUAGGCCGCCAGGGGCUAAAAGAUCACAGGAAAUAGUUGUGAUUAUCCAAUCAAGAAACGACAUCAAAACAUACCCUGAUUCAUGAGAUAUCUUAGCAGUGACUAAGUUCAUUCGUGCAUAGGAUAAUUAUAUGAAAAGAUCUAUUCUGUCCAUAGUAAAGUCAAUGGAGACAAAUAAUCUUUCCAGCCAUUGCAAACCUUCAAUCAAAAUGCUUGAUACACAAAAACUAAGGAUAUCGAAUUUCGUGCACAUAUCUAGGUGAAUGAAAAAAUCUCACACACAACAAAAAAUUACCUUGCAAUGAAGACAAUUCUAAAUUUAUGUAAGGCUUUGCGCCUUUGUGUCACCUUUCUCAUCAAAGACACAUCUACAUGAAAACAGGCAUAACCAAUAGUGAUAAGCAAAUUCUUGGCUACUAAGCAUUUUAGCAUCAUGGGACUAAUAGGAAUUCAACAAGCAUUUUAUUGUACAAGCAUGUGGAAAUAUCAUAUGUGCAGUAAACUAUUUACGGUUGAAAAAGGCUAUCCCAGUAUUCACCAAUCAUAAAAAGGAAAAGAGGUUUUCAUUCCUCAAGAAAAGCCCACAUAUAAGAAGGGAUAGAUAAAGUUAAAGAUAUUCUAGAAAAAAAGAUGACCCCAGGUAUUUCAAACCAAUAAUCGACAUUGUCUUUUUCAGUCUAUGAUUGUACAAGUCCUUGUGGCCAUAUAUAAGAAGGGACAGAUAAAUUUAAAGACAUUUUUCAACAUUAGUGCAAGAGGACAUGCCUUGGGCAAGAUGGCUGCCCACUUUCUCCCUAGCCUUAUCUUCUUUCUGAACCCAUAACUCAUGCUCUGUCCCACAACAGUAGCAAUGGACAAUUAAAAUGCGCACAAUUCAAGUUCAAAAUGUGUCGAACACGUUCCGAGUACUAAGAACAAUGCCAGCAUUAGAACCAAAACCUGAUUAGUGUAAGAAAGUUUUCCUGACAUCAAUUGUUCAUCCUAUGCAUUUGGAUCCGGUAGUUAUUUUAAAAAUGGUACACAUCUAGAAACUUAUUUUAAAUAUACAGGAAAUAGAAAAUUGUCAUUUCAUAAUCUAGCAAAGUGACACUUUCCAAACCUAUUUGUGCUAAAAACACAAGCUGUUGUAACCUACAGGUAUAAUGUAGAGUCAAACAUCCUUACAUGUACAUGCCACAACCUUCACCAAAUAUACAUUGCUCGAUCACAAUUGGUUUCUGAUCUUUAGGAAUACAACCUAAGCCAAAUUGAGUUUGAUGCUAUGAAACAAUGCACAAUGAAAUUACCAGGUCAGCGUGAACUUGGUUAAUAACCUGACAUUAGAGGUAGAGCUUUGACCAAAUAGAAAUAAGCAGUCUAAGUAAUUAAGUGCUGAACACCUAAGAAAAGUAUCAAAAUUCUGGUUUACCGAUUGGAGAUUAAGUUGGACAGGGAGCAGUGGUCCACCUUGGUCUCAACACAUGGAUUAGCUGGUUCGGCUGCAAGAUGCCUAGGGUGGUAGCUCUCUUCUGUUGCAAUACAUCUUAUCAGCUCAAGUACUGAAAUACCAUGUACAAUAGUAAUUAAUUCUCUGCAAAAAAAAAACUGUGUGAGAUUGAAUCUGCAAGCACAAAAAAACAGAACUGGCCAAAGCUUAAAAACCUUUUGCAUCUAAAUGCAAUAUCUUGUCUCAUGUCUCACCUAUUCAAGUCAAAAUGCACCAGCUGCAUGUCUUCUGAUAUCUCGACUUGCACAGCUCCAUAAGAUGAAGUCUGCAAUAAAGAAGUUCUAAAACCAUGUGCAAUCUAGAUGCUACUGCUUUUGCCAUCUAGAGUAAUAUUAAUAUAGAAGCAUCCCACAAGAAACUGCAUCUAAAAAACAUCCCAAAAGAAACUGCAUUUGCCCAGAUUAUUUGCCCAUCUACCACUAUAUGUACUAUUUUACCAUCUAAAAAGAAAUAGCUGCAAACAUUUCUACAUUCUAUGUAGUGUCAAACAAACUCAUCCUUGUGCAGAGAAUUAAUCUGCCAAUAAUUUCCUGUUUUUUUCAAAAAAAAUCUACCAAUAAUCAAUUAAGUAAACUAAUGAUAUCUAUUAUGGGUCAAAUUAUUGAUCGAGAUUGGACUGAAGUGAAUACAACUAUAUGAACAUGGCUAGCAAAUUUUAGGAGAGUUUUUCCCUCUCCUUCAUUGCCUUUGCUUGGAAAUUGGAAACAAAAGGCACUGCCUCAUCAGACUAUCUGUGAACUUGUGUACGGCUAAAUGUUGUAGUGUCUUUUUUUUUUAUCUUUUCGCUCAUAAACAGAUCCUCAUACAGAGAUCAAGAGAAGAAGCUAAAAUAUGUUUUAUUAAUCCUAAAAGCAAAAGCAAGAUCUUAAAAUGACUUCAAAAUGGCAUCUGCAGUCCAUAUUGCGGAUGCUGGAAAAUCAGCAUGUAUUGAUUUGUAUGUUUGACUAAUUGAACUAUGCAAUGCAACCUUGUCAUCAAGAACCAUGAUCCCGAUGCAGCUAUAGGGUUGGAAUGAAGAGCAUGUGCUGCACAGUGAUAGAAUUAUAUAAAAGACAGCUGGAUUUAAAGUUCUUAUUCAGCACUUACACGUCCAGAGAAUCACCGUUCUUAUUCAGUCUACAGAACAAAAUAUUUCAGCAUAUACCUCCCCGGAUUCAACUGGAGCAAGCUCUAGCGCCCAGCAGUUUCACCGUGUCGAUCUGCUCGUGCAUGUCGUCCAGAGUAGUCACUGCAGC